GUCUAUGGCCAUGCUACCUUGAAAGUGCCUGAUCUCGUCUGAUCUCGGAAGCUAAGCAGGGUCGGGCCUGGUUAGUAUUGGAUGGGAGACCAUUUAGGAAUACCAGAUGAUGUAGGCA
RNAcentral lists this ribosomal RNA (118 nucleotides) under Pteropus alecto (black flying fox). The record is from RNAcentral. Lineage: Eukaryota; Metazoa; Chordata; Mammalia; Chiroptera; Pteropodidae.